AGAGCAUGCGACCGGCGGCGACAGGAGACGGCGGCGGCGGGGAAAGGAGACGACGGCGGGGAAAGAAGGAGCAAAUCAAAAAGGCGCCGAAGAGAUCCUCCUCCGGCGGCUAGUCCCCGCAGAGAUGGCAGCGAUGGCCACUAUUCGGCAUGCGGGAAGGAGGCUCGUCGGCGGUGGCCGGCUUGCACAGGAGCCCAGCCGGCCUGUGUCUACUACCCCUGCCGGUCUCGGCCGCCCAGAUUUCACCCAGAACUUCCAAUCCCACGGCAGCGAAAAGGCCAAUCUAUUGAUGCAAGUGCAGCAGAAGAAGGAAUUGCUCUACAACCUUAUCUGCGAACACGGCUGUGAGGUCAAUGGCAAGAUAUGCCUGCCAAACAUUGAGCUCCUGCGUCAUCUCUCCGCACAAGUCAAGCCUAGGCCCAGCGAUCUUGCUUGGUGCUUUCUUCGAUUAACACAUACAGCAUAUGUUGCAUGUAUGUGCGCCAGUCCUGUGGUGACUCUCUAUGGGAGUUGGAUCGUCUUCAAAACCACCAGGGACAGAUUGCGUGGAGAAGAGAAUUAGCCGCAUAUGAGCUAUUAUUCUUGAAAGAUGGUGUCGGCACAUUUCAACAACAAUGGCGCGCAAGAUUCUGUAGUCCUGUGUUGUCAUGUAUCUUCAGUUAGCAUUUAUCUAGUUUUCUGAAACAGCAGGAGCUAUUAUUCUUGAAAGAUGGUGUCGGCACAUUUCAACAACAAUGGCGCGCAAGAUUCUGUAGUCCUGUGUUGUCAUGUAUCUUCAGUUAGCAUUUAUCGAAAAUUCACUAUCUUGGAUGUUACUUCUUGCAGUCAUUUACCAUAAUAUGUAUAACUGGGUGUUGCUGGAGCCGUCAAAUUUAGAAGUAUGUGGUAUGACUGAUUA
Molecule: long non-coding RNA, 898 nt
Organism: Lolium rigidum
Lineage: Eukaryota; Viridiplantae; Streptophyta; Magnoliopsida; Poales; Poaceae
Exons: 5
Source: RefSeq, a predicted model, not a curated record